RNAcentral lists this transfer RNA (73 nucleotides) under Cricetulus griseus (Chinese hamster). It matches the Rfam family "tRNA". Rfam says of the family: Transfer RNA (tRNA) molecules are approximately 80 nucleotides in length. Their secondary structure includes four short double-helical elements and three loops (D, anti-codon, and T loops). The record is from Rfam by way of RNAcentral. Lineage: Eukaryota; Metazoa; Chordata; Mammalia; Rodentia; Cricetidae.
GCCCGGCUAGCUCAGUCAGUAGAGUAUGGGAUUCUUAAUUCCAGGGUCAUAGGUUCGUGCCCCACGUUGAGCG